GAUGAACGCUGGCGGCGUGCCUAAUACAUGCAAGUCGAGCGAACGGACGAGAAGCUUGCUUCUCUGAUGUUAGCGGCGGACGGGCGAGUAACACGUGGAUAACCUACCUAUAAGACUGGGAUAACUUCGGGAAACCGUAGCUAAUACCGGAUAAUAUUUUGAACCGCAUGGUUCAAAGGUGAAAGACGGUCUUGCUGUCACUUAUAGAUGGAUCCGCGCUGCAUUAGCUAGUUGGUAAGGUAACGGCUUACCAAGGCAACGAUGCAUAGCCGACCUGAGAGGGUGAUCGGCCACACUGGAACUGAGACACGGUCCAGACUCCUACGGGAGGCAGCAGUAGGGAAUCUUCCGCAAUGGGCGAAAGCCUGACGGAGCAACGCCGCGUGAGUGAUGAAGGUCUUCGGAUCGUAAAACUCUGUUAUUAGGGAAGAACAUAUGUGUAAGUAACUGUGCACAUCUUGACGGUACCUAAUCAGAAAGCCACGGCUAACUACGUG
This 497-nucleotide ribosomal RNA is filed under the name uncultured bacterium. RNAcentral describes it as "partial 16S ribosomal RNA". It matches the Rfam family "Bacterial small subunit ribosomal RNA", at positions 28 to 507 of the family's 1533-position model. The record is from RNAcentral.